Molecule: long non-coding RNA, 3487 nt
Organism: Dicentrarchus labrax (European seabass)
Lineage: Eukaryota; Metazoa; Chordata; Actinopteri; Moronidae
Exons: 2
Source: RefSeq, a predicted model, not a curated record
UUUACUUUAUGGCCACAUUUCCAUAUGUGAUGCUGGCGGUGUUGCUUGUUCGUGGACUCCCGUUGCCUGGGGCCUUGGUUGGGAUCAAGUUCUACCUCUACCCAGAUCCAUCCCGCCUGGCUGACCCACAGGUGUGGAUGGAUGCUGGCACACAGAUAUUUUAAUCCUAUGCUAUUUGCAUCGGGUGUCUAACUGCACUUGGCAGUUAUAAUAAGUACAACAAUAAAUAACUGCUACAAGUUAGUUUGAUAUAAUGUCUAUUCAGUGGUUCAGUUUGAGUACUGUACAUAUAAAACACUCACAAAAAGAAAACACCUUCAGUAGGCACUAGAUUUAAAAAGCAUAAAAAUGCAAGACGAAAAAAUUAAAUACAUAAAUGUGUCAUUAAUUCAUUCAAAUACCGAUUCUCUUACCCUCUCAGACUUGAUUUUUUCCCCUAUUAUAAAUGAAAUACUGUAAGUUAUAUUGUGUGUAAAGGUUCUUAGUCAUCCAUGACACAGGAUAUGUAGUUCUGUUAAUCUAAAUGUCAUAUAUUCAAAAGGUACUAGAGGAACCUGUAAAUAUAAAAUCAUACCUUUACCUAAAGAUAUUAUUCUAAUUGUAGACGUGUUGGUAUAAUCAAUCCCUGGGUUAGAUGCUGUAUAAGAAGAUUUAUUUUACUAAUUCAGUGUCUUGUGACUUUAAGAGAUUUUUUUAUUACUGUGACAUCAGUAUGCGGCCACAAUAUGUAAGAAAUGCAUCAACCAUGUCUGCUUAAAACUGUUGACAGCAGACUGCAACUUUUUAUGCUCUUUCUAUUUACUAUUUACACUAAAGACCUUUCUCUGCCACUGGCAUUAUGUAAAUGUUAUGAGGAGAGCCUGAAUUUCAAAUAUUGUCUUCCAAAAGGCAAUAUGACCUUCGCAGAGGAAAAGUGAUCCCUCUUCAGUUGCUCCACUUGAGGGCAGGACAGUGGAUGUCAUACAGAUUAAAGCCCUUUACGGGUAAUUUAAACAUAAAACUAAACUGACUUGGCCUGCAUGGACAACCACACUGAUCAUCAUGAUUGAUUAAUCAAAUGUUUUGAGUUAAAUUAAUACAUCAGUACAUUUCUUUUCAUGAAUGCAAUUUUAUUAUCUAUUUCAUAAUUUUUUUUUUACAUUUUUCAUAAAAUACAUACAAACAAUAACACUGGUGGACCAGUAAAACAUGAUACAUGAAAAUACCCUACGUGUGAUUUCACAUCACAGCAGAAAGUGUGAAUUUAGGUGUUUUUAGAGCCAUCAAAUGCUGUACAGUGAUCCACAGCUCAUUCACACUCACUUACUCACUCAAAUACUCUUGCACACACACAGACACACAGAUGCACACAGCAUAUGCAUUUCUUUAUAUAUAAAUAUUAACAGGUGAGUUCCUGUGUUUGGUCCAAAGUCCAUUUAGCAAAUCCAUAAAUGGCAAAAAUUCAAUUGUUAUAUUUUCUCUAGAUCUUUUUUUUUUAAGAUCUGGAAGCAAAUACAGAAAAUGUCCACAGAAAUGAAGAUGUCAUCGUGAUUAGGCGACAGAGGAGACUUCGGUCUUGCUGGCAGAAACUGAGGUCUCAUCAUCCACCAUGCCACCCAUUCCAACAGUGCUCAGCAUGCAGUUACGGAACUGAAGAAGAGAGCAAAGAUAGCAAAUUCAGAAACAAGUGCAUGGUUCAGGAUUGUAAAAACAAAAGGCAAAUACUAGAAACAAAAAAACAUACUGUUGUUGUUGUACUGACCUGUUUGUUAAAGAGCACAUAGAUAAUAGGAUUAUAAAGUGCUGAGCUCUUUGCAAAGAAGGCGGGAAGACUUGCUGUCAGGGCAGUAAAGGCAGCUCCUUUGUUCAGGAAGAUCCAACCAGCGAAAGUGGCAUAUGGUACCCAUGCUACCAGGAAGCCAAAGACCAUCAAGACACACAUACGUGUCACUUCCCUCUCGGCCUUCUGGGUAGACUCUGAGUCCUGCUGCUGGGCUGCAGCCUAAAGAUUUUGAUGAAAUGAAAGAUAAUCAGCAUAAGUUCAUCCAAUAAAUUCUACCAUGUACAGUGGUGGCGAUUAGUUAGUUAGUUCAUCCUAUUAUUAAUGAUACACAGGGCAAAGAACAACUAAAACUUCACUUACAGCUUUGACAGUGAGCACAAGGCUUCCGUAAGUGAAGAAAAUGGUGGUGACGGGAAACAUGAAGUGAACAACAAACAUGUAGAUGACGUAUGAUUCAUUGUUAAAGCCUGCAGCCAGAGUGUAGUAGUCGGGUCCGCAGGAGCACUGCAUGCCCUCAGGAAUGUACCUGUGUGAAGUUAAAGAAGAACAAAUCAUGCAUGACAUUUUUCUGUGUUUAUUUAAAGGCACACUAUGCAAGAUUUUUACCUUAAUAUAACAGCUUCGAAGUCAUUUCAAUGGUAAACAAACUCAUACUAUAGCGAAUCAUCCCGAUAGCAAAGCAGGAGAGGGACGCCAUUGGCAGAACCAGCAAUGCAAGUCUGAAAGGUGGCGCCCUGCCAAAUCUUACGCCGCGACAUCACAUACAUCAGCAAGCAGGCAUUCACUCAGAUGUUACCUGGUCAGUAGACAUCUUCAGAGUCUAUCUUUGCCUGUUCGAUGUCCGAGCUUCCAUCCUACUGAACAUGUGUGUUUUCAGUGUGUUUUUUGCUAUUUUUAACUCUUUUCACGUCGCCUAAAUACUUUUUGGGCAUUUUUGAGCACUUUUUAUUUUUUGUUUGCACGGGUCUCCAUGGCGACGGGGAGUCACAUUGUUUACACCUGUGACCAGAAGAUGGCCCUGAGGCACCCGAGCAUCCUGAUUGGAGAGAGAGCCUCCAUACUGGAGGAGCUGAGGAGGAGACGGCGAGGCUGGAGAGCGGGGUUAAACGGAGGAUGAAGAAGAGGAGGUUUAAACUCUACAUCCCUGCAGUCAUCACUGGAAACAAACGUGGCUACACAAGCAGAUACCGGACUCCAACGUCACCAUGCCCGGCUUCCAGACGGUUCAACCAACAGGGACACCACCGCGACCAGCAAGAAGAAAGGAGGGGGACUUGCUGUGCUCAUAAUAAACAGGUGGUGUAACCCUGGGCACGUCUGUGUGAAAGAGUGUGUCUGCAGCCCGGACAUUGAGCUGUUGCCGUUGGACUUUGUCCGUAUUAUCUGCCAUUGGAACUUUCCAGUGUUAAAGCCAUCACUGUCUAUAUUCCUCCGCCUGGGAAAGCAGAAGCAGCGUGUGAUGUCAUCCACACUGUGACUGCAGGACUACAAACGAAAAACCCGGAGGCCUUCAUCAUCAUCACAGGGGACUUCAACCAUGUUUCUCUCUUGUCCACACUCCCAACCUUCCACCAGUUUGUCACAUGCACCACCAGAGACAAUAGGACCUUGGACCUGCUGUAUGCAAAUGUUCCUGUUUUUUAUAUCUGUAUUUAUUUCACUCAAAUGUUGCUGUGACAAGUGAAUUUCCCCAUUGUGGGAUUAAUAAAGCUAUCUAUCUAUCUA